RNAcentral lists this unclassified non-coding RNA (2036 nucleotides) under Thrips palmi. RNAcentral's name for it is "tetraspanin-3-like, transcript variant X3". The record is from RNAcentral. Lineage: Eukaryota; Metazoa; Arthropoda; Insecta; Thysanoptera; Thripidae.
GGCGGCGCGAGCGUCAGGGCGCCGCGCGCGUGACAGCGUCACGGCGUGACGGCGUGACGGCGUGAACCUUGCGGGACCCGUGCCACUGCACCAGCCCCGGGCAGCAAGGCGGCUGGGCGGCCCGGUUGCAGACCCGGUUGCAGACCCGGUUGCAGAACCGGUUGCAGAACCGGCCCGGCCAUGGCGGUGGGCUGCGGGACCAAGUGUGCCAAGAGCAUCCUCAUCUCCUUCAACAUGCUGUUCUGGCUCUCGGGGGGCACCCUGCUGGUGCUCGGCGCGUGGGUCUUCCUGGACCCGGCCAAGGCGCACCUGUUCCACCUGGUGUCCGCGUCGCAGGCCAAGCGUGACGUCAUCUACUACCUGGCCUACGCGCUGCUGGCCAUCGGGGGCUCCAUCUUGGUGAUCGGCUUCUGCGGCUGCUGCGGCGCGCUGCACGAGCGACGCUGCAUGAUCGGCACGUACGUCGUGUUCCUGCUGUUCCUGGUGGCGGUCGAGAUGGGCGUCGCCGUGAUCACGUUCGUCUUCCGGGAGGAGUUCAUGGAGGGGCUGGAGGCGCGCCUCAGCGACCAGCUCGUCAACAAGUACGGCCUGGACAUCGCCAACCACUACGAGAGCAACAACGUCGCCAACAAGGACUUCACCACGUCGGUGGACUUCGCUCAGUACCGGUUCAACUGCUGCGGCAUGCGCAACGACUCGGACUACCAGCAGACCAAGUGGUGGGCGCGCGGCCGCGAGAAGGCGGGGCAAGCCGAGCGGCCGAGGAACGUGCCGCUCACCUGCUGCGUGCUCUCCAACUCGGAAGUGUCACAGACUGGAAGUCCCAUUAGCGUAGUUUCGCGGUCUUUCCACGGAACCACUGAAGAGCCGUGGCAGAGCCCGCAGCCCAAGCAGGAGCAGGCGUGCCAGGACGACAACCCCCGGGUCCACGAGCGCCUCCGCUACAAGCAGGGCUGCCUGCUGGAGCUGGUGCUGUGGUUCCGCCGCGAGAGCACCGUGCUCGUGGCCUGCUGCACGUCCAUCGCGGGGCUGCAGCUGCUGGGCGUGGUGCUCUCCCUCUGCCUGUGCCGCAACAUCGCCGAGGACGCGUCGGCCUAGCGGAUCGCCGCGGACGCCGAUGUGGAGCAGUCCCGCCACCAGUACCCGAUGCGGCACUUGGGCCCCGACUGAACCAUCAACCAUCGUGCGUCCGCGCCUUUGUCCGCGCCCUUGUCCGCGCCUCGGCUGGAGCCUGGAGCCUCGAGGGCCGGGGCCGGCCUCCCCGACAGAGACUAGAGACUCCACCAUCAAGUGCCAGAAUGAGGAAGGGCGCCGUGCGCGCUCCCCUAAAUCUUUCUCUGGAUUUGGCCCUUUUCUUUUAACGUUUGAGCAUCAACAACCGUUUCCUCUCGCCGCCGAGGAUAGGCUCAGGUGCGCAUCCAGCAUCCAGGACUCUUGGUGGCGCUUAUUGCCCAUUGGCAGGGGCAAACUAGUGCACAGAUUUGUGCCUACCUUCAGGCGGUCUGUCCAGUACCCAAGGAGGGGGUAAUCACCCCAAUGAAAGCUGCCUGGAUCCGCGCCUGGACAGGCUUGUCCUCUCAUUCUCUUUGGCCCCACAAUGAUCGCCGUGUCCGCAGCCAACCAGUCCGUCGUCCCGUCGUCUUUGGGAAGUCCUGGGACUGAGAGAAGCUCGCCGUCGUCGAGCCACCUACUCUUUCAUCGAGUGUCAACAUCAUUUUCCUGUGAUCUAUCAUUUAAAAAAAAAACUUUUUUUCGUCCAUGUCUCGGUACGUCCUUUGUAGGAGAUUCGUGUUAGUGAGUGAAAGAAUGAGUGAGUGAUUAUUGUUAGCAUUAAGAUUAUGAAUUUGAAUUGAACAAUGUGAUAGGCAAAUAAUCAAUGAUCCAAUCUUCUCAGGCUUCACGCCUCUGAUGAUUAUGAUCGGACUGCUGCACAAACACCACCCACCAAAACAGUUGGCCCACUAGCACUCUUUGUGGGGUAUAGUGGUGCACUCAAUGCUAGAUUUGUAGACGGAACUUUGUGAGUCGGCGUUGGG